GUGAAUCCGGCCAGAGGACCGUGUCAGCCGGUCAGUUUUACUGGGGCGGUAUCCUCCCAAAGAGUAACGGAGGAGCGCGAAGGUGGGCUCAGCCCGGUUGGCAACCGGGUGUCGAGUGCAUGGGCAUAAGCCCGCCUAACUGUGAGACCAACAAGUCGAGCAGAUGCGAAAGCAGGCCCAAGUGAUCCGGCGGUAGAAAGUGGAAUUGCCGUCGCUCAACGGAUAAAAGCUACCUCGGGGAUAACAGGCUGAUCUCCCCCAAGAGUUCACAUCGACGGGGAGGUUUGGCACCUCGAUGUCGGCUCGUCGCAUCCUGGGGCUGAAGCAGGU
RNAcentral lists this ribosomal RNA (330 nucleotides) under Phocaeicola vulgatus. Its description in RNAcentral is "partial 23S ribosomal RNA". It matches the Rfam family "Bacterial large subunit ribosomal RNA", at positions 2235 to 2563 of the family's 2925-position model. Lineage: Bacteria; Pseudomonadati; Bacteroidota; Bacteroidia; Bacteroidales; Bacteroidaceae. The record is from RNAcentral.